UAAAACGCUGCUUCCCUUUCCAACAAAGUGGCAGUGUUCGAUCAUCCGGUGUUUCACCUAAGGGCUUUCCUGAUAAUUCUUUCUUCAACAAAAAUAAUAAUCCUUGAUAUGCCUGCGAAUUCAUGUAAGUAAAAGAGCUUCCACUGUCAAGAACUGUAAGUAAAUUUCUGAUCCCAGUAGAUUUCUCAUCAAAUAUUAAUUCCCCCAAUCCAGGUGAGUAGUAUUUCAAAAGAUCGCGUGACAUUGGUGUCC
RNAcentral lists this unclassified non-coding RNA (252 nucleotides) under Hevea brasiliensis (rubber tree). Lineage: Eukaryota; Viridiplantae; Streptophyta; Magnoliopsida; Malpighiales; Euphorbiaceae. The record is from RNAcentral.